GUGGGGAAUUUUGGACAAUGGGGGCAACCCUGAUCCAGCAAUGCCGCGUGCAGGAAGAAGGCCUUCGGGUUGUAAACUGCUUUUGUACGGAACGAAACGGUCCUGGCUAAUACCCGGGGCUAAUGACGGUACCGUAAGAAUAAGCACCGGCUAACUACGUGCCAGCAGCCGCGGUAAUACGUAGGGUGCGAGCGUUAAUCGGAAUUACUGGGCGUAAAGCGUGCGCAGGCGGUGCUGUAAGACAGGCGUGAAAUCCCCGGGCUCAACCUGGGAAUUGCGCUUGUGACUGCAGUGCUGGAGUGCGGCAGAGGGGGAUGGAAUUCCGCGUGUAGCAGUGAAAUGCGUAGAUAUGCGGAGGAACACCGAUGGCGAAGGCAAUCCCCUGGGCCUGCACUGACGCUCAUGCACGAAAGCGUGGGGAGCAAACAGGAUUAGAUACCCUGGUAGUCC
This 450-nucleotide ribosomal RNA is filed under the name uncultured bacterium. RNAcentral describes it as "partial 16S ribosomal RNA". It matches the Rfam family "Bacterial small subunit ribosomal RNA", at positions 354 to 796 of the family's 1533-position model. The record is from RNAcentral.